ACUCAAUUGUGAGCCUCUCUCCUAAUUGUGUCUCACAGAUGCAUAGUGAGGAGGUUAUUCAGCUUGUAUUUACAUCAUUACCCAUCUACCAUCAGAGUGUAUUGCUAACUGGUUCUCCUUACAAAUGCUUGUUGUGUUUGUUUUGUGUUUUUAAUUUUAUGUUCCACUGCUUGUCUACUUUUUCAUUGUUUUUAAUCCAAACUUCUACUUCAGCCUCUGCUCAUGAAGUCUCCCUCUCCCGAGUCCUUUGGGCUGCAAUAAUCAGACUCAAGCUGAGUGGAGACACACACUGAACAGAUGACAUGCCAGCCAAACUUGCCCCAAAAGUUGGGGAGGGAAAUGGUGCUCAACUGAAGGCAGCUGCUCUUGGGAGAGUCUUGACAGAGACCUCUGCAGCGAUAGUGCCUGGCAUCAGUGAUUGACGGGGAGCCAUCUGAUCAACUUUUGUUUCUGAAGGAAAACCCUGAGGAAACUCACUACCAUCCUCAGUGGCUGGUGGAUGGAUAAAGAGGUGGAAAGCAAGUUGAGUGAGCAGAAACUAUGAAGAGCCAUGAGCAGUUCCGGGGGAGCAGCUGCGAGCAUCAUGGAAGGCCUCUGCCCUGUCGGAGAAGCCGGGAUCCUCUUCAGCUUGGACACUACAUCAGUGACACUGGCAUCUCCCCCAUGCCAGGUAAAGUGGGGUGGGACCACAGGGAAGGCCGCCCUCUCCCAUGCCACAUCCAGGAAUGUGUGUUUGGUCCCUGCUGUAUACAAAGGGAGAUUAGGACUAGGGGAUUUGAAUCUUUCAAUGUUCAAGAACUUUGGAGAUUAUUUAAUCCAGUGGUUUGCAAAUGUCUUUUAGCUGUCCUUUAGCUGCAAAUGUCCUUUUGCUCAGGGAAAACUAUUUCAGAAGCACAUUUUUGCAAGCAAAGGCAGAUGUGUCUGGUUGAAGCAGCAGUAGGCUUUGGAGAUAGAGAUACUCACAGGCUAAAGAGGUGGGUGGGAGUAGCCUCAUGAAUGAUUCUGCUUCCUCUUUAGGAUUUUCUUUAAAAUAACAUCACUGCAGCUUUCAGUUAAGCCCUGGACGCUGUUCACUUAGGCCUGAGCCCAGACCCUCCAGAGCCACACAGUCCAAUAUGGUAGCCACUCUUGUUUUAUAUUUUAUUUAAUUUUAAUUAAUUUAAAGUAAGAUAGCUCUAUGUGAGUUAAAAAUCUUUUAAAUUCAGUUUCUCACACACAUUAUACACAAUUCUAGGACCCAAUAGCCAUAAGUGAUGAGUGGUUACCCAUCAGGCAGCGUGGAUAUCGAACAUUUCCAUCAUUGCAGAAAGCUCUGUUGGACAGAAGUUCUGUUGAACAGCCUCACUUUAGAGUCUAGAAUUUCCUUAAGGGGACCCUGGAUUCUCUUGGGCUCUGGGAAACACAGUUAGAAAAGCACUGGUAGAAUCUAACACCUGAACGAGAAGAGAAGUCCACAGAAGCAGCGUGGUUUGCCAGCCACGUGGCAGGUUAUUGAAGAACUAGAGCUACACCUCAGCUCUCCCACUCCACCCUACUGCACUUCUGCCUGACCCCAACCCCUAACCUAACUGUUCUCUGUUGCCUCUCCAGAAUUGCCGUCCACGCUAAGCCUUUUGCCCACAUCUCUACUGUUUAGAGACGGAACUGAGGUCUCAGACAUCUCUGAGGUGUCCAGAUUAAUCAGGAGACCAUUGUAGAUGAGGCAUCGCUCUAGGACCUGGUACCUGCUUGUGCUUUGUCCAGAACUGAGCUCAGAACUUGCCCAGUUCUACCACAUGUCUGAAAACUUCUUCCUUCCUGUCCACAUCAUUCCGUAGUUGUCUCUGAGAUAUGUCUAUUUACAAGAAGAUACUCUGAAAAGGGCCAAGUCAGAAAUGACAUCUUGAUGUAUCCAGCCAGCCAGCAGUCUCAGUAGCCACUAAAAAAUUAGGUCAGUAGUUAAAAAUACUUUUACAAAGAAAAGCCCAGGCUUGGAUAGUUUUAUAAGAAUUACACCAAACAUUCAAGGAAUAGUUAAUAGUUCAUUCAAAUCUUAUACAAAUUCUUUCAGAUAAUAAAAAAAGAAAAAGAAAAACUCCUUAGCAAAUAUGUGAGAUAAAUAUAAACACAAUAUGAAAUUCACAUAGAGAUAAUUCGAGACAGGAAAAAUGAUUUACUCAUGAACAUAAAUGCAAAAAUCCUUUAAAAAUAUUGGCAAACUGAAUCCAAGAAUAUGUGAAAAAUAUAACACACCAUGAUAAAUUUGCAUCAUCCUAUAAAUGCAAAAUAUAUUUUGUAUUAAAAAAUCUAGUUUAGUUCAUGAAAUUAACAAAUUAAAUAAUUAUUUCAAUACUAUUAGAUAAACUUUAAACAUAUGUGGUCUCCUAGCUCUCCAAAGACCUCAUACUAAAAUAAUAGUUCUUCUUAAUAGAAGGAGCAAGGAAUUAUUGUUCCCAAAUGUUUUUACACACCUCCCCGCUAUGAGAGAAGUGUACUUCCUGGUUGGCUGACAUCCAGCCUGGGCCAUGUGACUUGCUCUGCCAGGAGUAGCAGGAAAGCAGAAAUGAUGUCUAUUAAGUCUUGAAAGAGGCUUUAAGAGCUAAUACACUCUUCUCCCACAUCCCCUCCUCAAGGGUCUCACUCCUAAAUAAAUGUUACUUUUUCAACUUCCAUCCCAGAAUAAAAAAGCAUGUGGAGCAGAAAUGGAACAGAGUAGAGGCCAGCUCAGUUUCCAUGUUAUAAAACCAAAUAGACAUCUUUGUUGCAGUAAGCCCCCAUGAUCUGGAUGUUGUUUGCUAUCACAAUAUAACUUACUCUGUGAUGAUUGCUAUUUUAAAAAGAGUACCUACCAAAAAUUUGUAGCGCAAACCAUACUUACUAAUAAAAAAUUAACCUUACUCCCUUUAAAAUAAAAAACAACAGUGAUGCCUUUGAUUCAACAUUGUGCAGUAAGAUAAGGAAAAAUAAAAUGUAGGAAUUAUAAAAGGAAAUACUAAGCUUUGGUUAUUUGCAGGUAAUAUGAUUGUUUAUAUAGAAACUCCUCAAGAAUAUGGACAUAAUUUAACAAAACAGAGCACCUAAAAUACCAACAAAAUCAUAAUACAUCCAGGAAUAAAUCUAACAAAAUUUGUGCAAGACUUCUUUGAAAUUAUAUAUGUUAUUAAAAUACAUUAAAGUAAACGUAAAUAAAUGCAUAUAUUAUUUAUCUAUUUAUUUAUUUAUUAUUAUUAUUUUUUUUUGAGAUGAGGUCUCACUAUGUUGCCCAGGUUGGUCUCGAACUCCUGGGCUCAAGUGAUCUGUUCACCUUGGCCUCCCAAAAUGCUGGGAUUACAAGCAUGAGCCACCACACCUGGCCUUAUAUUUAUUUUGUAUACAUAUAAUAUUUGUGAUAGAAGGACACAAUAUAUUAAAAGUUUGGUCAUUCUCUUCAAAUUGCUCUAUAAAUAAAAUGCAAUUCCUUUCAAAUUCAAUCCAGAGCUGUUUGCAGAACUUGAUAAGCAGAUUCUAAAAUUUUUAUGGAAAAAUGAAGCACAAGAAUAGCUGAAACACCCCUGUAGAGGAUGAACAGGAUGAGGCGAGCUGUUUUGCCAGUUUUCAUUGCCCUGUGUAUAUAAUAAAGCUUUGAUUAAUUAAGAGAGCAUAAUAUGGCACAGGAACAUAGGAUAGACCAGUGGAUCAGCACAGAGCGUGUAGAAACAAGCCCACACAUAAAAUGAAAUCUAGUAUAUAACUGGAAUGUCACUGCGGAUCAGUAAGAAUGGGUUGCUCAAUAAAUGAUGCUAUGAUCAUUUGUUUUCUAUAUGGACAACAACAACACAAAAAAGAAUACACAAAAAUAAAUAAAAGGGAAAAAGAUUUAGAUAUGGAAACCACAAACUUAAGACUUUGGGGAAAAAUAUAGAAUAUUUCUAUGAUCUUGGAGCAGGAAAAAAAUGAUGAAAACAAGACCCGAAAAGCACAAAUAUAAAUGAAAAGAUAAGAAAGUUAACUGAGUUAAAAUUAAUAACACUUCUUAAUCAAAAGAUUCCUAAAUGCAAAGAUAAGCAAAAAGGAAAAGUCUGCCUCCCCCAAAAGCAGUGGUAAAACAUAGGAAUAAACACUUCACAGAAGAGUCAGCCCAAAUAGCUAUUAAAUAAAUGAAAAAUGUUCAACCUUUUAAAUAAUGAAGAUGUUGCAAGAUAAAACCACAAUAAGUUAAAGUUUUAUACUAAAAUGUUGGUAAGG
Molecule: RNA transcript, 4203 nt
Organism: Homo sapiens (human)
Lineage: Eukaryota; Metazoa; Chordata; Mammalia; Primates; Hominidae
Exons: 4
Source: RefSeq, a predicted model, not a curated record